RNAcentral lists this non-coding RNA (729 nucleotides) under Pan troglodytes (chimpanzee). The record is from RNAcentral. Lineage: Eukaryota; Metazoa; Chordata; Mammalia; Primates; Hominidae.
GGGAUGGCAUCCCCCCUCGGCUUCCCAGACACCCCCAUCAAUGCCUGGCCCCCUUCCUUAGGAGCGGGGGUCUCAGAGACAUGAGGCUUGGGGAGGCCAGCCAAACUAACAACCAGGCCAUAUGUUUCUUAAAACAAAAACAAAACCCAACAGCCCUUAAGGGCUUGGGGGUGGGGAAUGCAUCCUGCAGGACCAGGACAGCUGCACGGGACACCACAAUGUGAGUUCACAAGAAGGCCGCCUGGCUGCUCAGGGGCUGGCCUGGGCACCUCGGAACCAGGCCUGGACCCCAGGUCUUCCCUGUGAUGAAUCCAAGUUCAAAGGCACCAGCUCCAGCGCCUACCGCUCAGGCUGGGUGGCUCCAGGGGCAGCUCCCAAGAAGCCCUGUCUUCUAGAGCCAGAGCCUGAAGCCCCACCAUUCUCCUGGCUUCAUUCCAGGCAAAGGAUUACCCAUGCUUGGCUUCUAAGAAAUGCCACACCCCAAGAGGGUAACAGGGUGGAGAGACUGCCAACGGACACAUCCAUAGCUGGGCUGAAGUCUGUGUCUCAACUUGUGUCCUGAUUUCUGGAGAUGCAAAGAGUGAGACAACUCCUCGUAGUCGGCCACUCUGACCUGGCAAGAGCCCACAAGCUCCCUGCCCGCUUCUUCUUCUCUAGGCAUGCUGUCUCAGGGUCUGAUGUCACACCACCCUUCCCCAUGUGGGGAUGGACAUACAGCAGGUGCAUCUU